AACGGCCAUACCAUGCUGAAUAGACCGGUUCUCGUUAGAGAGUCAAGCAUCAUUUGGCGCGGUCAGUACUUGGGUGGGUGACCACCUGGAACACCGCGUGCCGUU
Caerostris extrusa is the source of this 105-nucleotide non-coding RNA. NCBI's taxonomy places the organism in Eukaryota, Metazoa, Arthropoda, Arachnida, Araneae, Araneidae. The record is from the annotation of a GenBank genome assembly.